RNAcentral lists this unclassified non-coding RNA (330 nucleotides) under Hevea brasiliensis (rubber tree). The record is from RNAcentral. Lineage: Eukaryota; Viridiplantae; Streptophyta; Magnoliopsida; Malpighiales; Euphorbiaceae.
GUAGUUUGUGUCGGGCGAAAAUGAAUUUAGAUGCAGUGGGAAAUGAAAGCCUGAAAACUGGUUUGUUGAGUACGUUUGAGAAGCAAUGCGCUAAUGAGGAUGUUUUAAGGAAUGCUUAUAAGCUGGUUUUGGAUUCAGAUUUUGAGGAGGAUAAUGGGAAAUUUGUGCAUGAAGUGAAUGCUUUAUUGGGGACCGUGUGGAGUAUUGUUUCCUGGGAGGGGAUAACAGCGUUUGUUGCACUUGAAGGUGGAGAAUUGAUGAGUGAAAAAGGUGUUGAAGAAAUUGGAGUGAAUGGGAGGGAUGAGAAUUUGGUAAAGAAGAACGGUGAGA